RNAcentral lists this long non-coding RNA (604 nucleotides) under Dasypus novemcinctus (nine-banded armadillo). RNAcentral describes it as "lncRNA (ENSDNOG00000051841.1)". The record is from RNAcentral. Lineage: Eukaryota; Metazoa; Chordata; Mammalia; Cingulata; Dasypodidae.
GGGGGGGGGGGAGGGGGGCAGAGGGGCGGGGAGGGGGAGAAGGUGGGGGGCGGGAGUCUCCGGGCCUGAGCCGCCCGUAGGAGCGCACGCCGCAGCGCAGCCGGACGCUCCCCGGCAGCUGUUUAACGCGCGCCUCUAGGAGGAAAGUGGCUCCGCCAACCCGAGGGGCGUCCCUGCAGGCUAGUGAAACGUCCCGCGGCCAAGAGGACGCGGAGACACGGGGAGGCGGGCGCAGGCAGGCUGGUGGAGCACAACAAAGCAGAGGCGCGCGAGGGAGCUCGAGGUUGCCCGGCUGCCGGCGGCCGAGCGCCAGCGGGGCUGUGGCCAUCUCCACGCGCUCAGGACAUGGCAAGUUUGUCAACUCCCGCCUCUGUGUCCAGCGCCUAGCUGCCCACGAAGUGACAGCACGGCAGGGUCUGCCCCCAGAGGGACGGCGCCCGGCCCGUCCCCGGCCCGCUGCAAAAUGCUCCACUGCAGACCAGGGAGAAGUUGGCUGUGGCCCGACUGCAGCGGGAAGUUACCCAGAGAAGGAAUGAGGGCGUCAUGGUAAGUGCUAUCUGGCUCCCGGAUCCUGAACCCGCCCUUCCAAGGCCCCUGGCGGGAA